This 1499-nucleotide ribosomal RNA is filed under the name metagenome. Its description in RNAcentral is "bacterial SSU rRNA". It matches the Rfam family "Bacterial small subunit ribosomal RNA". The record is from RNAcentral.
GAGUUUGAUCAUGGCUCAGAUUGAACGCUGGCGGCAGGCCUAACACAUGCAAGUCGAACGGUAACAGGAAGCAGCUUGCUGCUUCGCUGACGAGUGGCGGACGGGUGAGUAAUGUCUGGGAAGCUGCCUGAUGGAGGGGGAUAACUACUGGAAACGGUAGCUAAUACCGCAUAAUGUCGCAAGACCAAAGAGGGGGACCUUCGGGCCUCUUGCCAUCGGAUGUGCCCAGAUGGGAUUAGCUUGUUGGUGGGGUAACGGCUCACCAAGGCGACGAUCCCUAGCUGGUCUGAGAGGAUGACCAGCCACACUGGAACUGAGACACGGUCCAGACUCCUACGGGAGGCAGCAGUGGGGAAUAUUGCACAAUGGGCGCAAGCCUGAUGCAGCCAUGCCGCGUGUAUGAAGAAGGCCUUCGGGUUGUAAAGUACUUUCAGCGGGGAGGAAGGGAGUAAAGUUAAUACCUUUGCUCAUUGACGUUACCCGCAGAAGAAGCACCGGCUAACUCCGUGCCAGCAGCCGCGGUAAUACGGAGGGUGCAAGCGUUAAUCGGAAUUACUGGGCGUAAAGCGCACGCAGGCGGUUUGUUAAGUCAGAUGUGAAAUCCCCGGGCUCAACCUGGGAACUGCAUCUGAUACUGGCAAGCUUGAGUCUCGUAGAGGGGGGUAGAAUUCCAGGUGUAGCGGUGAAAUGCGUAGAGAUCUGGAGGAAUACCGGUGGCGAAGGCGGCCCCCUGGACGAAGACUGACGCUCAGGUGCGAAAGCGUGGGGAGCAAACAGGAUUAGAUACCCAGGUAGUCCACGCCGUAAACGAUGUCGACUUGGAGGUUGUGCCCUUGAGGCGUGGCUUCCGGAGCUAACGCGUUAAGUCGACCGCCUGGGGAGUACGGCCGCAAGGUUAAAACUCAAAUGAAUUGACGGGGGCCCGCACAAGCGGUGGAGCAUGUGGUUUAAUUCGAUGCAACGCGAAGAACCUUACCUGGUCUUGACAUCCACGGAAGUUUUCAGAGAUGAGAAUGUGCCUUCGGGAACCGUGAGACAGGUGCUGCAUGGCUGUCGUCAGCUCGUGUUGUGAAAUGUUGGGUUAAGUCCCGCAACGAGCGCAACCCUUAUCCUUUGUUGCCAGCGGUCCGGCCGGGAACUCAAAGGAGACUGCCAGUGAUAAACUGGAGGAAGGUGGGGAUGACGUCAAGUCAUCAUGGCCCUUACGACCAGGGCUACACACGUGCUACAAUGGCGCAUACAAAGAGAAGCGACCUCGCGAGAGCAAGCGGACCUCAUAAAGUGCGUCGUAGUCCGGAUUGGAGUCUGCAACUCGACUCCAUGAAGUCGGAAUCGCUAGUAAUCGUGGAUCAGAAUGCCACGGUGAAUACGUUCCCGGGCCUUGUACACACCGCCCGUCACACCAUGGGAGUGGGUUGCAAAAGAAGUAGGUAGCUUAACCUUCGGGAGGGCGCUUACCACUUUGUGAUUCAUGACUGGGGUGAAGUCGUAACAAGGUA